Molecule: ribosomal RNA, 492 nt
Filed under: uncultured bacterium
Lineage: Bacteria
Description: partial 16S ribosomal RNA
Rfam family: Bacterial small subunit ribosomal RNA
Source: RNAcentral
AGUGAACGCUGGCGGUAGGCCUAACACAUGCAAGUCGAACGGCAGCACAGUAAGAGCUUGCUCUUACGGGUGGCGAGUGGCGGACGGGUGAGGAAUACAUCGGAAUCUACUUUUUCGUGGGGGAUAACGUAGGGAAACUUACGCUAAUACCGCAUACGACCUACGGGUGAAAGCAGGGGAUCUUCGGCCCUUGCGCGAUUGAAUGAGCCGAUGUCGGAUUAGCUAGUUGGCGGGGUAAAGGCCCACCAAGGCGACGAUCCGUAGCUGGUCUGAGAGGAUGAUCAGCCACACUGGAACUGAGACACGGUCCAGACUCCUACGGGAGGCAGCAGUGGGGAAUAUUGGACAAUGGGCGCAAGCCUGAUCCAGCCAUACCGCGUGGGUGAAGAAGGCCUUCGGGUUGUAAAGCCCUUUUGUUGGGAAAGAAAAGCAGCAGGUUAAUACCCCGCGGUUCUGACGGUACCCAAAGAAUAAGCACCGGCUAACUUCGUG